GUUCGCCAAUUAAAGCGGUACGUGAGCUGGGUUUAGAACGUCGUGAGACAGUUCGGUCCCUAUCUGUUGUGGGCGUAGGAAAUUUGAGGGAUGCUGCUCCUAGUACGAGAGGACCGGAGUGGACGGACCUCCAGUAUACCAGUUGUCACGCCAGUGGCAUAGCUGGGUAGCUGUGUCCGGAUGGGAUAAGCGCUGAAGGCAUCUAAGCGCGAAACCCUUCCCAAGAUGAGAUUUCCCUUGUCGCUUCGGCGACGCUGAAGGCUCCUCGCAGAUGACGAGGUCGAUAGGCCACAGGUGCAAGAACGGCAACGUUUUCAGCCGAGUGGUACUAAUCAGCCGUGCGGCUUAACCAUUUU
This 356-nucleotide ribosomal RNA is filed under the name Candidatus Zhuqueibacterota bacterium. RNAcentral describes it as "candidate division KSB1 bacterium (activated sludge metagenome) partial 23S ribosomal RNA". It matches the Rfam family "Bacterial large subunit ribosomal RNA", at positions 2579 to 2925 of the family's 2925-position model. Lineage: Bacteria; Pseudomonadati. The record is from RNAcentral.